CAAAAUGUAGCUUAACCAAAGCAUCUCGCUUACACUGAGAAAAUAUCUGUGAAACCCAGAUCAUCUUGA
Molecule: transfer RNA, 69 nt
Filed under: Dendropsophus stingi
Lineage: Eukaryota; Metazoa; Chordata; Amphibia; Anura; Hylidae
Description: tRNA-Val
Rfam family: tRNA
About the family: Transfer RNA (tRNA) molecules are approximately 80 nucleotides in length.
Source: RNAcentral